UAUUAAUUUAUUAUUUUGGUAUUUUUCAUAUAAACAAGAUGAAGCAAUUGUCCCAGUUGGCAACUGUAUUUGUAACAGACCUUGAGAGUCACAACAAAUGGACGUUGUAGGACAGAGUGAUCAUGAUCGUUCUCUUUCAGCGGCACAUCGGCCGAUCAUGCAGCGUUCUGGUAGAGAGGAUGUAGUACAGCCAGUCAAACAGAGUUGGAACAGAAAUACACUGUCGAUGUUUCACACUUGGUCCGUUCUUCUUGAUAUGCUGCAUUAUAAGUACCACAAAAAGGUAGAGAAAACUCCAGCCGGCUGAAUCAAUUGCAAUUGAAAAGCAAUCACUGUGAACAAAGCCUUUGUACAUCCUGCCUAGACUUCAAACAUUAAAUAAGAUGUUCAUCAUGAAUACAACUUGAACUUGAAGUGUGUUUUUACUGCCAGCAAAACCAUGUGCGCUGUGUUUUUUUUAUUUUGAGCUUAUUAAAAGGUCCAUAUAUUGUG
This is a long non-coding RNA of Gadus morhua (Atlantic cod), 492 nucleotides long. RefSeq lists it as uncharacterized. The record is from RefSeq and is a predicted model, not a curated record. The transcript has 3 exons. Lineage: Eukaryota; Metazoa; Chordata; Actinopteri; Gadiformes; Gadidae.